AAGGCCAGAGGCUCCUAACUUGGGACAGGCACAAAAAUACAGCGGGGUUGUUGUGACUAUUUUCAAAUGGUUUUCAGAUUUGUAAAAUAAAAAAAAACUUUCUUCUAAUAACUUUUUACAUCUUACUUCUGAACAUUAUAUUCACCAUCAGUACUUGUAGCAAGAGUAUAAUGAAUAGAACUUCAUACCAAAACACACAAGGACGAACAAACUCUUAAUUAGAUAUAGGAAGAUGUGGUAUGAGUCCCAAUGAGACAACUUUCCAUCCAAGUCACAAUUUAUAAAAGUAAACCAUUAAAGGCCAAGGUACCGUAUUCAACACGGAGCCUUGGCUCACACCGAACAGCAAGCUAUAAAGGGCCCAAAAAAUU
RNAcentral lists this long non-coding RNA (371 nucleotides) under Mytilus galloprovincialis (Mediterranean mussel). The record is from RNAcentral. Lineage: Eukaryota; Metazoa; Mollusca; Bivalvia; Mytilida; Mytilidae.